Molecule: small nucleolar RNA, 134 nt
Filed under: Drosophila erecta
Lineage: Eukaryota; Metazoa; Arthropoda; Insecta; Diptera; Drosophilidae
Description: snoRNA:GG26066
Source: RNAcentral
GUGCACUUUUUGAGAAUGGUCUUGUCCUGGAUGACAUUUUCAUUGUACAAAAUUGCAAGAGCAUAUUAGUUUUUUGCUUGCCUUGUUGCUUCACAAAGUCCGAGCAUCAAAGGCCAAUGAAAACUUGGACACAA